Sapajus apella (tufted capuchin) is the source of this 832-nucleotide RNA transcript. It is a transcript of the gene named proteasome activator complex subunit 1-like, with no coding region annotated. The transcript is spliced from 2 exons. The record is from RefSeq and is a predicted model, not a curated record. Lineage: Eukaryota; Metazoa; Chordata; Mammalia; Primates; Cebidae.
AUACAAUGCUAGGUCCCCCUGCCCUGGCCACAGCCACACUCAGGGUCCAGCCCGAGGCCCAAGCCAAGGCAGAUGUGUUUCAUGAAGACCUCUGUACCAAGAGAGAGAACCUGCUCAGGAGCUAUUUCCCCAAGAAGAUUUCUGAGCUGGAUGCAUUUUUAAAGGAGCCAGCUGUCAAUGAAGGCAACCUGAGCAAUCUGAAGGCCCCAUUGGACAUCCCAGUGCCUGAUCCAGUCAAGAAGAAAGAGAAAGAGGAGCGGAAGAAACAACAGAAAAAGGAAGACAAGGAUGACAAGAAGAAAGGAGAAGCUGAAGACAAAGGUCCUCCUUGAGGUCCAAUGAACUGCAAUGAAAAGAUCAUGGUCCUUCUGCAGUGCUUGAAGCCUGAGAUCAAGAAUGUCACUGAGCAGCUCAACCUGGUCACCACCUGGUUGUAACUGCAGAUACCUCGGAUUGAGGAUGGGAACAAUUUUGGAGUGGCUGUCCAGGAGAAGGUAUUUGAGCUGAUGACCAGCUUCCACACUCAAAUCUCCGUUUCUCUGAGCGUGGCGAUGCAGUAACUACAGCAGCCAAGCAGCCCCAUGUGGGUGAUUAUUGGCAUCUCGUGCAUGAGCUGGAUGAAGCAGAGUACCAGGACAUCCAGCUGAUGGUCAUGGAGAUCCACAGUGCUUAUGCUGUGCUAUAUGACAUCAUCCUGAAAAACUUAGACAAGCUCAAGAAGCCCAGGGGAGAAACAAAGUAAUGAUCUAUUGAGAGCCCUCUUUCCCAUUCUGUGAUGGGCACAGCAGAGACCUUCCUGCUUUUUUACUGGGGGCUCCAGACUUUCCCCAAA